Molecule: ribosomal RNA, 466 nt
Filed under: uncultured bacterium
Lineage: Bacteria
Description: partial 16S ribosomal RNA
Rfam family: Bacterial small subunit ribosomal RNA
Source: RNAcentral
GACGAACGCUGGCGGCGUGCUUAACACAUGCAAGUCGAACGGAAAGGCCCUGCUUUUGUGGGGUGCUCGAGUGGCGAACGGGUGAGUAACACGUGAGUAACCUGCCCUUGACUUUGGGAUAACUUCAGGAAACUGGGGCUAAUACCGGAUAGGAGCUCCUGCUGCAUGGUGGGGUUGGAAAGUUUCGGCGGUUGGGGAUGGACUCGCGGCUUAUCGGCUUGUUGGUGGGGUAGUGGCUUACCAAGGCUUUGACGGGUAGCCGGCCUGAGAGGGUGACCGGCCACUUUGGACCUAGCUUACGCCCCAGUCUCUACGGGAGGCAGCAGUGGGGAAUAUUGCACAAUGGGCGGAAGCCUGAUGCAGCAACGCCGCGUGCGGGAUGACGGCCUUCGGGUUGUAAACCGCUUUCGCCUGUGACGAAGCGUGAGUGACGGUAAUGGGUAAAGAAGCACCGGCUAACUACGUG